Molecule: ribosomal RNA, 444 nt
Filed under: uncultured bacterium
Lineage: Bacteria
Description: partial 16S ribosomal RNA
Rfam family: Bacterial small subunit ribosomal RNA
Source: RNAcentral
CCUACGGGAGGCAGCAGUGGGGAAUAUUGGGCAAUGGAGGAGACUCUGACCCAGCAAUGCCGCGUGAAUGAAGAAAGUCUUCUGAUUGUAAAGUUCUUUAGUCAGGGAAGAAUACCAUGACGGUACCUGAAGAAUAAGCUCCGGCUAACUACGUGCCAGCAGCCGCGGUAAUACGUAGGGCGCAAGCGUUGUUCAGAAUGGCUGGGCGUAAAGGGUGCGUAGGCGGUUAUACAAGUUAGAAGUGAAAUACCCAGGGCUUAACCCGGGUGCUGCUUCUAAAACUGUAAGACUUGAGUGCAGGAGAGGUUAGUGGAAUUCCUAGUGUAGCGGUGGAAUGCGUAGAUAUUAGGAGGAACACCAGAGGCGAAGGCGGCUAACUGGAGUGCAACUGACGCUGAGGCACGAAAGUGUGGGGAGCAAACAGGAUUAGAUACCCUAGUAGUC